GAUGAACGCUGGCGGCGUGCCUAAUACAUGCAAGUCGAACGCUGGAAAUCUAGCUUGCUAGAUUGAAGGAGUGGCGAACGGGUGAGUAAUACAUAAGCAACCUACCCACGAAGACUGGGAUAAUCUCUGGAAACGGGGACUAAUACCGGAUAGGUAAUCGGAAGGCAUCUUCUGAUUAUUAAAGGUUAAAAACACUGGUGGAUGGGCUUAUGGCGCAUUAGUUAGUUGGUGAGGAAACGGCCCACCAAGACGAUGAUGCGUAGCCGGCCUGAGAGGGUGAACGGCCACAUUGGGACUGAGACACGGCCCAGACUCCUACGGGAGGCAGCAGUAGGGAAUUUUCGGCAAUGGGGGAAACCCUGACCGAGCAACGCCGCGUGAGUGAUGACGGCCUUCGGGUUGUAAAGCUCUGUUGUAAGGGAAGAACGGUAGAUAGAGAAUAUCUAAAUGACGGUACCUUACCAGAAAGCCACGGCUAACUACGUG
This 486-nucleotide ribosomal RNA is filed under the name uncultured bacterium. RNAcentral's name for it is "partial 16S ribosomal RNA". It matches the Rfam family "Bacterial small subunit ribosomal RNA", at positions 28 to 507 of the family's 1533-position model. The record is from RNAcentral.